RNAcentral lists this long non-coding RNA (1537 nucleotides) under Mytilus galloprovincialis (Mediterranean mussel). Lineage: Eukaryota; Metazoa; Mollusca; Bivalvia; Mytilida; Mytilidae. The record is from RNAcentral.
CUGUGACAUUAAUUUUCAAAAUUUGAUAUGGUGUACAAACGUUUGCACUUAAUGUUUGCGGUUUAUCAUCUUUUCCACAAGUUUAUUGUUUUCUUUUUGGUAUCAAAAAGUAAAAUCACAAAAAUACUGAACUGAAAAUUCAAAACGGAAAGUCCCCAAUCAAAUGGCAAACUCAAAAGAUGAAACACAUCAAACGAAUGGACAACAACUGUCAUAUACCUAACUUGCUACAGGCAUUUUCUAGAAAAUAGUGGAUUGAACCUGGUUUUAAAGCCAGCUAAACCUCUCACUUGUAUGACAGUCGCAUCAAAUUCUAUUAUUAUGAAUAAAGGCAACAGUAGUAUACCGCUGUUCAAACUCAUAAAUCCAAGGACAAAAAACAAAAUCGGGGUAACAAACUAAAACUGACGGAAACGCAUAAAUAUAAGAGGAGAACAACGACACAACACUACAAUGUAACUAACACACACAGAAACGGACCAAGCAUCAGACAAAAUCCCACGAGAAUAACAAAUAUAACAUCAAAACCAAAUACAUGAAUUUGGGAUAGACAAGUACCGUGACACGUCUUAUCGCAAUGUCAAUUUACACUCAAAAAUAAGAGAAAACAAACGACGCAACGUUAAAUUGUAACACACACAGAAACGAACUAUAAUAUAACAAUGGCCAUAUUCCUGACUUGGUACAGGACAUUUUUAAAGGAAAAAAUGGUGGGUUGAACCUGGUUUUGUGGACAACGAUGCAAGAACAAAACAAACAGACAUAUUAGGUUAAAAUGUCAAAAUAUGGGAACAGCAGUCAACAUUGUGUAAUAAUCUCAAUCACUAAAAAAAUCAGAAACAAAUAUGUACUAAAGAGGCACAAAAUGACAUAAAGACCAAGUAUAUUAGCAAAAAAAUAAAGACAAGAAUACACAAAUUUACUAUAGUACAUUGCCAUAAUGACGGAAUUUUAAGUAACAGAGCCACGUCAUAUAUGUAUAUAUGUAUCAAAGAAUCAUAAAAAAGGAUAAAGACAAAGCACAUAGCAAAAAUGAAUGAGAAGCAAACAAACAUGUUUUACAAUAGCGCAAUAACGGGAUGUAUAAGUACAGAGCAACGUUAUAUGUAUCGAAGUAACACCAAAAGGCAUAUAGACAUUGCACAUUAGCAAAAAUGAAAGACAAAAAUACGGAAAUAUCAUACUAGUAAACAUUACAUAAUGACAGGAUGUACUAAUACAACCAGUAUCUUAAUCACAAUAAAAUCAAACAAAUAUUAAACAAAGAAGCACAAAAAAGCAUAUACCAUAUCAAACAACUGUAUUUAUUACUUUGACAUUGACCUUGGUAUAUAAAUGAGCGCAUGACGUCAGAAUGUAAACGUCACACAGGUAGAGAUAUAAAAUAAUUUUGUCGUUCUAGUAUGAAAUGAUAUAUUUACAGUGCUUAUAUAGCGCUUAUCUAAAUACACAUUUACUCUAAGCGCUUUACAAUGCAUAAAAAACAAUGAAACAAGUACAUAUAAACAAAUUUAAAAAUCCAAUAAAAAUAGAAACC